GCUGCUUGUGCCAAUAGCCCAGCUACACAGAAGGCUGGGGUGGGAGGAUCUCCUGAGUCUAGGACUUGUAGUUUGUAGUGCACUAUGCUGAUUGAGUGCUCACACUAAGUUUGGCAUCAAUAUGAUGACUUCUCAGGAGUGCUGGACUGCUAGGUUGCUUAAGGAGGGAUGAAUUGGCCUAGAUCAAAAACAAAGGUCAAAACUCCCAUGCUGAUCGGUAGUGGGAAUGCAACUUUGAAUAGCCACUGUACUCCAGCCUGGGUAACAUAGCAAGACCCUGUCCCUU
Molecule: signal recognition particle RNA, 286 nt
Filed under: Otolemur garnettii (small-eared galago)
Lineage: Eukaryota; Metazoa; Chordata; Mammalia; Primates; Galagidae
Description: Metazoan signal recognition particle RNA
Rfam family: Metazoan signal recognition particle RNA
About the family: The signal recognition particle (SRP) is a universally conserved ribonucleoprotein. It is involved in the co-translational targeting of proteins to membranes.
Source: Rfam by way of RNAcentral